GUGGGGAAUAUUGGACAAUGGGCGAAAGCCUGAUCCAGCCAUGCCGCGUGUGUGAAGAAGGUCUUCGGAUUGUAAAGCACUUUAAGUUGGGAGGAAGGGCAGUAAGUUAAUACCUUGCUGUUUUGACGUUACCGGCAGAAUAAGCACCGGCUAACUUCGUGCCAGCAGCCGCGGUAAUACGAAGGGUGCAAGCGUUAAUCGGAAUUACUGGGCGUAAAGCGCGCGUAGGUGGUUCGUUAAGUUGGAUGUGAAAGCCCCGGGCUCAACCUGGGAACUGCAUCCAAAACUGGCGAGCUAGAGUACGGUAGAGGGUGGUGGAAUUUCCUGUGUAGCGGUGAAAUGCGUAGAUAUAGGAAGGAACACCAGUGGCGAAGGCGACCACCUGGACUGAUACUGACACUGAGGUGCGAAAGCGUGGGGAGCAAACAGGAUUAGAAACCCCGGUAGUCC
Molecule: ribosomal RNA, 450 nt
Filed under: uncultured bacterium
Lineage: Bacteria
Description: partial 16S ribosomal RNA
Rfam family: Bacterial small subunit ribosomal RNA
Source: RNAcentral